Molecule: ribosomal RNA, 109 nt
Organism: Panthera pardus (leopard)
Lineage: Eukaryota; Metazoa; Chordata; Mammalia; Carnivora; Felidae
Source: Ensembl
GUCUGUAGCCAUGCCACCUUGAAUGAGCCCAAUCUUGUCUGAUCUCAGAAGCUAAACAGGGUCCGGCCUGGGUAGUCCUUGAAUAGGAGAGAUGGUGAAUUAGCAUAUU